Molecule: ribosomal RNA, 254 nt
Filed under: uncultured bacterium
Lineage: Bacteria
Description: partial 16S ribosomal RNA
Rfam family: Bacterial small subunit ribosomal RNA
Source: RNAcentral
UACGGAGGGUGCAAGCGUUAUCCGGAUUCACUGGGUUAAAGGGUGCGUAGGAGGGCAGGUAAGUCAGUGGUGAAAUCUCCAAGCUUAACUUGGAAACUGCCGUUGAUACUAUCUGUCUUGAAUACCGUGGAGGUGAGCGGAAUAUGUCAUGUAGCGGUGAAAUGCUUAGAUAUGACAUAGAACACCAAAUUGCGAAGGCAGCUCGCUACACGAAUAUUGACUCUGAGGCACGAAAAGCGUGGGGAUCAAACAGG